This 315-nucleotide ribosomal RNA is filed under the name uncultured Novosphingobium sp. RNAcentral's name for it is "bacterial SSU rRNA". It matches the Rfam family "Bacterial small subunit ribosomal RNA", at positions 104 to 436 of the family's 1533-position model. Lineage: Bacteria; Pseudomonadati; Pseudomonadota; Alphaproteobacteria; Sphingomonadales; Sphingomonadaceae. The record is from RNAcentral.
GGGUGAGUAACGCGUGGGAACGUGCCUCUUGGUGCGGAACAACAGCUGGAAACGGCUGCCGAUACCGCAUGAUGUCUACGGACCAAAGAUUUAUCGCCAAGGGAUCGGCCCGCGUCGGAUUAGGUAGUUGGUGGGGUAACGGCCCACCAAGCCGACGAUCCGUAGCUGGUUUGAGAGGAUGAUCAGCAACACUGGGACUGAGACACGGCCCAGACUCCUACGGGAGGCAGCAGUGGGGAAUUGUUCGCAAUGGGCGCAAGCCUGACGACGCAACGCCGCGUGGAGGAUGAAGAUCUUCGGGGCGUAAACUCCUUU